GAGUGUGGGAGAACAUGAUGAUGGUGAUGAUAAUAAUAAUAAUAAUAACUGUUUCAUUUAAGUAUCAUCAUCAUCAUCAUCGUGUUCAUAUUAU
This 94-nucleotide microRNA precursor is filed under the name Pediculus humanus corporis (human body louse). RNAcentral describes it as "microRNA mir-598". Lineage: Eukaryota; Metazoa; Arthropoda; Insecta; Psocodea; Pediculidae. The record is from RNAcentral.